UGGGAUGUUCGUAAAAGAUCGGAGAAC
RNAcentral lists this small RNA (27 nucleotides) under Bombyx mori (domestic silkworm). RNAcentral describes it as "ovarian small RNA-8794". Lineage: Eukaryota; Metazoa; Arthropoda; Insecta; Lepidoptera; Bombycidae. The record is from RNAcentral.